RNAcentral lists this unclassified non-coding RNA (412 nucleotides) under Hevea brasiliensis (rubber tree). The record is from RNAcentral. Lineage: Eukaryota; Viridiplantae; Streptophyta; Magnoliopsida; Malpighiales; Euphorbiaceae.
UGGAAAGGGUGCAUUUGGGGAGGUUAGAAUAUGCAGGGAGAAGGCAACUAGUCAUGUCUAUGCCAUGAAAAAGCUAAAGAAGUCAGAAAUGCUUCGUAGAGGCCAGGUUGAACAUGUUAAAGCCGAAAGGAAUCUGCUUGCUGAAGUGGAGAGCAAUUGCAUUGUUAAGCUAUAUUGCUCCUUCCAAGAUGAGGAGUAUCUUUACCUAAUAAUGGAAUAUCUUCCUGGUGGAGAUAUGAUGACUUUGCUGAUGCGCAAGGAUACUUUAACAGAAGAUGAGGCCAGGUUUUAUGUGGGGGAGACCGUCCUUGCUAUAGAAUCUAUCCAUAAACACAAUUAUAUUCACAGAGAUAUCAAGCCUGAUAACUUACUACUUGAUAAACAUGGACACAUGAAGUUAUCAGAUUUUGGA